CCUACGGGAGGCAGCAGUGGGGAAUAUUGCACAAUGGGGGAAACCCUGAUGCAGCGACGCCGCGUGAGUGAAGAAGUAUUUCGGUAUUUAAAGCUCUAUCAGCAGGGAAGAAAAUGACGUUACCUUACUAAGACGCCCCGGCUAACUACGUGCCAGCAGCCGCGGUAAUACGGAGGGGGCAAGCGUGAUCCGGAUUUACUGGGUGUAAUGGGAGCGUAGGCGGCAAGGUAAGCCAGAAGUGAAAGCCGACGGCUAAACUGCGGGACUGCUUUUGAAACGAUCUAGCUAGAUUGCAGGAGAGGUAAGUGGAAUGCCUAGUGUAGCGGUGAAAUGCAUAGAUAUUAGGAGGAACACCAGUGGCGAAGGCGGCUUACUGGACUGUAAAUGACGCUGAGGCACGAAAGCGUGGGGAGCAAACAGGAUUAGAUACCCUGGUAGUC
RNAcentral lists this ribosomal RNA (440 nucleotides) under uncultured bacterium. RNAcentral's name for it is "partial 16S ribosomal RNA". It matches the Rfam family "Bacterial small subunit ribosomal RNA", at positions 338 to 795 of the family's 1533-position model. The record is from RNAcentral.